Molecule: small nuclear RNA, 102 nt
Organism: Nymphaea colorata (pocket water lily)
Lineage: Eukaryota; Viridiplantae; Streptophyta; Magnoliopsida; Nymphaeales; Nymphaeaceae
Source: RefSeq, a predicted model, not a curated record
GCUUUUCAAAUGUAUCUAAUAGAAUUGGAACGAUACGGAGAAGAUUAGCAUGGCCCUUGUGCAAGGAUGACAUGCACAAAUUAAAGAAUGGUCCAAAUUUUU